GUUAGGAAUAUUGGACAAUGGGCGCAAGCCUGAUCCAGCCAUGCCGCGUGAGUGAUGAAGGCCUUCGGGUUGUAAAGCUCUUUAGUCCACGAAUAUAAUGACUGUAGUGGAAGAAUAAGCCCCGGCUAACUUCGUGCCAGCAGCCGCGGUAAUACGAAGGGGGCGAGCGUUAUUCGGAAUCACUGGGCGUAAAGCGUGCGUAGGCUGUUUUGUAAGUCAGAAGUGAAAGCCCAGGGCUUAACCCUGGAAUUGCUUUUGAAACUACAAGACUCGAAUUCGGGAGAGGAUAGCGGAAUUGUCAGUGUAGCAGUGAAAUGCGUAGAUAUUGACAGGAACACCAGUGACGCAAGCGGCUAUCUGGACCGAUAUUGACGCUGAGGCACGAAAGCGUGGGGAGCAAACAGGAUUAGAUACCCUGGUAGUCC
This 425-nucleotide ribosomal RNA is filed under the name uncultured bacterium. RNAcentral describes it as "partial 16S ribosomal RNA". It matches the Rfam family "Bacterial small subunit ribosomal RNA", at positions 354 to 796 of the family's 1533-position model. The record is from RNAcentral.